RNAcentral lists this ribosomal RNA (253 nucleotides) under uncultured bacterium. RNAcentral describes it as "partial 16S ribosomal RNA". It matches the Rfam family "Bacterial small subunit ribosomal RNA", at positions 524 to 776 of the family's 1533-position model. The record is from RNAcentral.
UACGAAGGGGGCUAGCGUUGCUCGGAAUGACUGGGCGUAAAGGGCGCGUAGGCGGUUUGUACAGUCAGAUGUGAAAUUCCUGGGCUCAACCUGGGGGCUGCAUUUGAUACGUGCGGACUUGAGUGAGGAAGAGGGUCGUGGAAUUCCCAGUGUAGAGGUGAAAUUCGCAGAUAUCGGGAGGAACACCAAUGGCGAAGGCAGCUCGCUGGGACGUUACUGACGCUGAGACGCGAAAGCGUGGGGAGCAAACAGG